UUGAUGGAGAGUUUGAUCCUGGCUCAGGACGAACGCUGGCGGCGUGCCUAAUACAUGCAAGUCGGGCGGAGCCCGAGGGGAGUUUGCUCCUUAUCGGGCUCAGCGGCGGACGGGUGAGUAACACGUGGGUAACCUGCCCGUAAGACCGGGAUAACUCCGGGAAACCGGGGCUAAUACCGGAUAACACCGGGGGCCGCAUGGCUUCCGGUU
Molecule: ribosomal RNA, 210 nt
Filed under: Caldibacillus debilis
Lineage: Bacteria; Bacillati; Bacillota; Bacilli; Caryophanales; Bacillaceae
Description: partial 16S ribosomal RNA
Rfam family: Bacterial small subunit ribosomal RNA
Source: RNAcentral